Molecule: ribosomal RNA, 524 nt
Filed under: uncultured bacterium
Lineage: Bacteria
Description: partial 16S ribosomal RNA
Rfam family: Bacterial small subunit ribosomal RNA
Source: RNAcentral
GACGAACGCUGGCGGCGUGCCUAAUACAUGCAAGUCGAACGAAGCUGUUUUAACUGGUGCUUGCACCGACUUAAACAACUGAGUGGCGAACGGGUGAGUAACACGUGGGUAACCUGCCCCAAAGCGGGGGAUAACAUUUGGAAACAGAUGCUAAUACCGCAUAACCACAGAAACCACAUGGUUUCUGUGUCAAAGAUGGUUUCGGCUAUCACUUUGGGAUGGACCAGCGGUGUAUUAGCUAGUUGGUAAGGUAAGGGCUUACCAAGGCAAUGAUACGUAGCCGAACUGAGAGGUUGAUCGGCCACAUUGGGACUGAGACACGGCCCAAACUCCUACGGGAGGCAGCAGUAGGGAAUCUUCCACAAUGGACGAAAGUCUGAUGGAGCAACGCCGCGUGAGUGAAGAAGGUUUUCGGAUCGUAAAACUCUGUUGUCAGAGAAGAACGUGUGCGAGAGUAACUGCUCGUGCAGUGACGGUAUCUGGCCAGAAAGCCACGGCUAACUACGUGCCAGCAGCCGCCGUAA